UGACCCUGGUCACUACAACUCCAGUAGGCUCUCUUUCUUUCUCUUUCUCAUUCACACACACUCUCUCUCUCCCUCUCUCUCUUUUAUUGCCAUCCCUUGAUGUUAAACAGGACGUCUCCAUGGAUACAGGAAUAAACAGAUGAUAACAAGCCCUCAGCCUUUAAAGCCCAUUUCAGAAGGGAGUAACAGAAGAGACAGAGAAAGAGAGAGAGAGCAGGACGGGACAGAAGCUGUGCAGACCUGGAAGCGUGUGUGCAUGUGUGUGGAUUGCCAGCAGCUGGAAGUCAGUAGCACAGAAUACCCAAUAUGGCAGAAAGCACAGAAAUGGACGAGCUUCUGAGCACCUUUAAGAAGUUUGCUAUUCAUGGUGACACCAAAGCCACCGGAAAGGAGAUGAAUGGGAAAAACUGGGCUAAACUGUGCAAAGACUGCAAAGUUAUUGACAGCAAGAAUGUCACCGGCACUGAUGUAGAUAUUGUCUUCACAAAAGUCAAAGCAAAGACAUCUCGGGUCAUAACAUAUGAGGAGUUCCAGAAAGCUUUAGAAGAAUUGGCCCCAAAGAGGUUUAAAAAUCAAAGCAAAGAUGAAGCACUGCAGUCUAUGCAUAAGCUAAUUGAGGGCAAAGAACCCACCAACGUUGGUGUAACGAAAGUGGCAAAAACUGGUGCAGUGGACCGGUUAACUGACACAUCUAAAUAUACAGGCUCACACAAGGAGCGCUUUGAUGAGAGUGGGAAAGGCAAAGGAAAAGGUGGGCGGGAGGAGAUCGUGGAGCACACGGGCUACGUAGGAGCCUACAAGAACGCUGGGACUUACGAUGAGAAGACGAAGGCCAAGUAAGGCCACACUGUCUCCAAAAAGCUCUAAGCUUCUUCUUCAUCAGCACUUAGGUCUGGACCAAAGCCAAACUUGAACUUUGACCUGUAAAAUCACACAGCCACUAUGCAGUGUAACACAGGAAGUGUUGUAAAUGUUUGUCUUCAAGGAUAAAGAACAUAGUAUUACAGUCGGUUUUCGUUAGAAAGUUGACAGAAGGGUAAGAGAGGAACUGGUGAGGACUGUUCUCACUCCUUUCAUUCAAACCAGCCCCUGCUGUAUGUAGGAUUUCAGGUGAAAAUCUCAAAGAGCAAGCAUAAAGACCGCUCCUCGGGUAGUGUAUUUGUUUCAGUUUUUAUGUUGCUGUAAAGAUGCAUCUGAACAUCACAAUGCCUCAGAGAGGGAGAAGCAAAAACACAGGAAGCCCUUUAAGAGAUUGACUUCUUCCAACAGAUGCUCUUCCAUAAUUGCUGUCAUUAAAUUCUAACAAUAUUGAUUGCUACAACUUAAAUGUCAUUCUUCAAAGGGUAAUGGUGAACCAGCUUUAUGUGUGUAUUAGCUACCCUUCUGUUAUUAUUUCCAAAAAUUAAUUGUCAUAUCUUUGUUUUAGUUAACUUACUGUGUUACCAAAACUGGAAACUGCCUUUGUAUGAAUCAUUACUAAUAACAGCAAACCCUGCCAAGGCACUAAAACAGACAACACAAAAUAUUGUGUUUGUGCACACUGUGAAAAAAAAAAAAGUUGUUUUAACUUAAAAUAACGUGUUACCGUGCUGAUUUAAAUUUUUUAGUUUAGUCAAGUAAAAUAUUCCAGUUGCCACUUAAAUUAACAUUAAAUAACUUAAAAUUUUAAACUGACUAAACAUUUUAAGUGUAAUUACUAUUAGGCUAUGUAUCACGACUUUAACUACUAGUUUCAAAAUAAAGUUGAAAUAGGUUAUGGCUGCACAUUCUACAGCAUGCUUAAACACAUGCAUGCUUAAUAUACUAAGGAUUUCAACUAGGAGUCCAUGAAUUGGUGAAUCGGGGAUGCUAAGCCAAGUAAAAAAAAUUACAUUGUCCUGGUUUUGUACCUUUUUUGCCUUGUUUAGCACUCUGCACAUAAAAUGAAAUUCUUUGUACCUGCCUGUGCUUCCUCUCAUAAACCUAACAAAAAUGUGCCACUGCAACCAUAGUAACCUCCAAAAACACAGUAGUUACUACAAUUAUACUGCCGUAAAACUGUGGUUAAAAACAACAACACACCAAAUCCUUAAUAACUGCCAUAUAUUUAGCAUUACACACAGUGUGUGCACAAAACACCGGUCCAUAUGUCCAAAGUCUCCCCUGAGGGACAGACAGGACGCCGACGCCGGUCCCCUCUGUUGCCACGGCAACUGCACCAUACACAAACACAACAGCCCAGCCCGGGCCGGCACCUGGCUCCGGCAGCCUUUCCCUGCCCUCUGUGUGUUUGUAACCAAACACACUCGUUCAUGGCAACGUUUGUUUGGUUCAUCUCCUUGGAAGCGUUUAAUCAAAAACAUCUCGCUCUAUUCCAGCUCGAGCCUUUGUUGCUCCUGUCACACGGUGAUGAAUGGCAUCGCACAGCAGCGUCGCAAUCGCCUUUAGUCAACUUAUGCGCUCGCCGUGCGCUGUAAUCAACCGGCUGAUUAAUUGCCUGUUAACAUGAGUUGCAGAGCCCGACAGGCUUGACUGGCGCUGUUGAUUUAAUGUGCCGCACAUGCAGACGGAUGACUGCAGCGCGCUUGAGAAGGAACUCGAGUCCUACCGGCGCGCGCGGAGUGCCUCUAGGGGGAGGUACGAGACGCGAUUAUGUAAUGUUAAAAUCUACCUUUACACUAUAUAAAAAGCCAUUUUAAUGGCUGGUUACAUGUUUUAUUUCUCAUUUAUGGUCUGUAUGCAAUUUGAAUACAGCUUUGUGCGUCUAAUCACGCGCGUAGUCCAGGUUAUUACGUCAGCUUUGUCUGGUUCUUGAUUUGAAACCUAACGCUUGAGAACCAUUAGAUUAGAUUUACUCUGGAUAUUAACAAAUCAACCUAGUGGAACGAUAAAAGACAUACAUUGCCGUUCAAAAGUUUGGGACCAGUAAGAUUUUUAAAUGCUUGUUUUUUCCCCUUAUGUUUUUUUUUUUUUUUUUU
RNA transcript from Labeo rohita (rohu), 2957 nucleotides. It is a transcript of the gene named tubulin polymerization-promoting protein family member 3, with no coding region annotated. The record is from RefSeq and is a predicted model, not a curated record. The transcript has 5 exons. Lineage: Eukaryota; Metazoa; Chordata; Actinopteri; Cypriniformes; Cyprinidae.